Molecule: long non-coding RNA, 2125 nt
Organism: Drosophila serrata
Lineage: Eukaryota; Metazoa; Arthropoda; Insecta; Diptera; Drosophilidae
Source: RefSeq, a predicted model, not a curated record
GUUCUCCCGAAGCAGCCGGCCGGCGUGACAGUACCAUCGAAUCCACGGAAAGGCGAUCGCAGCGGUCAUUAAAUCAAAGUGCGCGGAAAAAAACGGCGAAACAACAAGUAUGAAAAGUCGCGGAAAUCAGUGCAAAAUGUGUGUGAAGUGAGGGCAAAGCCAGGAGCAGCCCCACAACCAAAACCGAGCCGCUGUCGUUUGUGUGUGUGUUAUUUUUUCAAUGUAAAGUAUGUAAAUUGCCAAGAUCCGCGCUUUUUCUUUGGCUAGUUAAUAUUGUUUUGUUAUUUGUAUGUGCAAAUGCAACACCUGCAAGUGUGGAACAAUUGCAAGUGUCCCACAAAUGCAAGUGUUUAACAAAUUUAAUGCGCAAUAAGAUUUUUUCGUUCUUUUGUGCGUGUGCUUUUUCCAUUCUUCGUCCGUUGGGAUCUAAAGCAACAACAAUUGUGAGAGGGAAUUUAAUAUUCAAGCCUAUCACCUACACAUCAAAUACCAUUCAGAGCAUGUUUCCCCACCGGUUCGAAACUAGGAGUUGCUUGGAAGUGUCCAGCUAAUAUUUGCUGAAUCCUCUCUCUCUCUCCCUCACAAACACCGACGCCUUCCAGUAUCACCUUUUUGCCUCUCCCGGUGGUCUUCGUAAAUCAGUUCUCCAGAAGCAGCCGGCCGGCGUGACAGUACUAUCGAAUCCACGGAAAGGCGAUCGCAGCGGUCAUUAAAUCAAAGUGCGCGGAAAAAAAACGGCGAAACAACAAGUAUGAAAAGUCGCGGAAAUCAGUGCAAAAUGUGUGUGAAGUGAGGGCAAAGCCAGGAGCAGCCCCACAACCAAAACCGAGCCGCUGUCGUUUGUGUGUGUGUUAUUUUUUCAAUGUAAAGUAUGUAAAUUGCCAAGAUCCGCGCUUUUUCUUUGGCUAGUUAAUAUUGUUUUGUUAUUUGUAUGUGCAAAUGCAACACCUGCAAGUGUGGAACAAUUGCAAGUGUCCCACAAAUGCAAGUGUUUAACAAAUUUAAUGCGCAAUAAGAUUUUUUCGUUCUUUUGUGCGUGUGCUUUUUCCAUUCUUCGUCCGUUGGGAUCUGCAGCAACAACAAUUGUGAGAGGGAAAAUAAUAUCCAAGCCUAACACCCACACAUCAAAUACCAUUCAGAGCAUGUUUCCCCACCGGUUCGAAACUAGGAGUUGCUUGGAAGCGUCCAGCUAAUAUUAGCAACAGCUAGAUCCUCUCUCUCUCCCCCACAAAAAUCGCCAAAACAUUGCCGCCUUCCAGUAACGCCAAGUAACCUCUCUCGGUGGUCUUCGUAAAUCAGUUCUUCCGAAGCAGCCGGCCGGCGUGACAGUACCACCAAAUCACCGGAAAAGCGAUCGCGGCUUCAUUAAAUCAAAGUACGCGGAACAAUACGGCGGAAGAAAAGUGAAAACAAGUGUGAGAAGUCGCGAAAAUCAGUGAGCUCGAGCAGUGAAGUGGGUGCACAGCCACGAGCAGCCCCACAACCAAAGCCGAAUAACUGCAAGUCUUCAACAAAUUUAACUGCGCAAUAAGAAGGUUUUUACCUAUCUUUUGUGCGUGUGCUUCGUGCAUCGUCGCCCGUUGGGAUCUGCAGCAGCAACAAUUGUAAGCGGGAAAGUAAUAUCCAAGCCUAACACCCUCACAUCAAAUACCAUUCAGAGCAUGUUUCCCCACCGGUUCGAAACUAGGAGUUGCUUGGAAGCGUCCAGCUAAUAUUAGCAACAGCUAGAUCCUCUCUCUCUCCCCCACAAAAAUCGCCGAAACAUUGCCGCCUUCCAGUAACGCCAAGUGACCUCUCUCGGUGGUCUUCGUAAAUCAGUUCUUCCGAAGCAGCCGGCCGGCGUGACAGUACCACCAAAUCACCGGAAAGGCGAUCGCGGCUUCAUUAAAUCAAAGUACGCGGAACAAUACGGCGGAAGAAAAGUGAAAACAAGUGUGAGAAGUCGCGGAAAUUAGUGAGCCCGAGCAGUGAAGUGGGUGCAAAGCCACGAGCAGCCCCACAACCAAAGCCGAAUAACUGCAAGUCUUCAACAAAUUUAACUGCGCAAUAAGAAGGUUUUUACCUGUCUUUUGUGCGUGUGCUUCGUGCAUCGUUGCCCGUUGGGAUCUGCAGCAGCAACAAUUGU